AGGGAGUCCUGUCUCUCCUGACUUUAGCGGUCCUGGGUAAAUAUUGAUUUGCCCCGCGUUUACCUUCUUACUGACUGACCAUUUGCAGACUAAGGAGCCAACCUCUGUGAAGACUUGAUUUCUGUUACUUUGGAGCCCUUUUCAUCGGUCCCCCCACUCCUUCCUCCCUCUAAGUGGCAUUGUAAAACUCAACAGUGACAAAGAGAUGAAGUACCGGUUCCAGGCUCCAAUUCUCGGAGACUCGAGGGCAGUUUACAUACAGGUCAGACACGGCUGGAGGCCAAGGUCAAGUUGAAAGUUGCUGUCUAGUCAGCAUGAGAAACUACAAUGAAAGCCCAGAGACAGAGCCGACUGCCCACCACCCCUCU
RNAcentral lists this long non-coding RNA (368 nucleotides) under Mus pahari (shrew mouse). Its description in RNAcentral is "sRNA (MGP_PahariEiJ_G0008167.1)". It matches the Rfam family "HOXA transcript at the distal tip, conserved region 2". The record is from RNAcentral. Lineage: Eukaryota; Metazoa; Chordata; Mammalia; Rodentia; Muridae.